CGUGUGGUAUUUUGUUGAGAGAAAUGCUUCUUUCAAGCAAGAUGGCGACACGGCCUAACGAGGU
Molecule: regulatory RNA element, 64 nt
Organism: Psychromonas sp. CNPT3
Lineage: Bacteria; Pseudomonadati; Pseudomonadota; Gammaproteobacteria; Alteromonadales; Psychromonadaceae
Rfam family: L31-Gammaproteobacteria ribosomal protein leader
Source: Rfam